This 2924-nucleotide ribosomal RNA is filed under the name Pantoea stewartii. RNAcentral's name for it is "23S ribosomal RNA". It matches the Rfam family "Bacterial large subunit ribosomal RNA". Lineage: Bacteria; Pseudomonadati; Pseudomonadota; Gammaproteobacteria; Enterobacterales; Erwiniaceae. The record is from RNAcentral.
GGGUUGUGAGGUUAAGCGACCAAGCGUACACGGUGGAUGCCCUGGCAGUCAGAGGCGAUGAAGGGCGUGCUAAUCUGCGAUAAGCGCCGGUAAGGUGAUAUGAACCGCUACAACCGGCGAUACCCGAAUGGGGAAACCCAGUGUGACUCGUCACACUAUCAUGCAGUGAAUCCAUAGCGGCAUGAGGCGAACCGGGGGAACUGAAACAUCUAAGUACCCCGAGGAAAAGAAAUCAACCGAGAUUCCCCCAGUAGCGGCGAGCGAACGGGGAGGAGCCCAGAACCUGCAUCAGCUUGUGCAUCAGUGGAAGCGUCUGGAAAGUCGCAGGGUACAGGGUGAUACUCCCGUACACAAAGGUGCACAGGCUGUGAGUUCGAUGAGUACGGCGGAACACGUGAAAUUCCGUCGGAAUCUGGGAGGACCAUCUCCCAAGGCUAAAUACUCCCUAGUGAUCGAUAGUGAACCAGUACCGUGAGGGAAAGGUGAAAAGCACCCCGGAAGGGGAGUGAAAGAGAUCCUGAAACCGUGUACGUACAAGCAGUGGGAGCACCUUCGUGGUGUGACUGCGUACCUUUUGUAUAAUGGGUCAGCGACUUAUAUUCUGUAGCAAGGUUAACCGUAUAGGGGAGCCGCAGGGAAACCGAGUCUUAACUGGGCGUUAAGUUGCAGGGUAUAGACCCGAAACCAGGUGAUCUACCCAUGUCCAGGGUGAAGUUCAGGUAACACUGAAUGGAGGCCCGAACCCACGCACGUUGAAAAGUGCGGGGAUGAGGUGUGGGUAGCGGAGAAAUUCCAAUCGAACCUGGAGAUAGCUGGUUCUCCCGAAAGCUAUUUAGGUAGCGCCUCGUGAACUCAUCUCCGGGGUAGAGCACUGUUUCGGCUAGGGGCCAUCCCGGCUUACCAACCCGAUGCAAACUGCGAAUACCGGAGAAUGUUAUCACGGGAGACACACGGCGGGUGCUAACGUCCGUCGUGAAGAGGGAAACAGCCCAGACCGCCAGCUAAGGUCCCAAAGUCAUGGUUAAGUGGGAAACGAUGUGGGAAGGCACAGACAGCCAGGAUGUUGGCUUAGAAGCAGCCAUCAUUUAAAGAAAGCGUAAUAGCUCACUGGUCGAGUCGGCCUGCGCGGAAGAUGUAACGGGGCUAAACCAUGCACCGAAGCUGCGGCAGCGACGCGUAAGCGUUGUUGGGUAGGGGAGCGUUCUGUAAGCCGUUGAAGGUGUGCUGUGAGGCAUGCUGGAGGUAUCAGAAGUGCGAAUGCUGACAUAAGUAACGAUAAACAAGGUGAAAAACCUUGUCGCCGGAAGACCAAGGGUUCCUGUUCAACGUUAAUCGGAGCAGGGUGAGUCGACCCCUAAGGCGAGGCCGAAAGGCGUAGUCGAUGGGAAACAGGUUAAUAUUCCUGUACUUGGUGUUACUGCGAAGGGGGGACGGAGAAGGCUAUAUCGGCCGGGCGACGGUUGUCCCGGUUUAAGCGUGUAGGUGUGUGCGCCGCAAAUCCGGUGCACUUUACACUGAGGCGUGACGACGAGGCACUACGGUGCUGAAGUGAUAAAUGCCCUGCUUCGAAAAGCCUCUAAGCAUCAGGUAACACGAAAUCGUACCCCAAACCGACACAGGUGGUCAGGUAGAGAAUACCCGGCGCUUGAGAGAACUCUGGUUAAGGAACUCGGCAAAAUGACCCCGUAACUUCGGGAGAAGGCACGCUGGCGCGUAGGUGAGGGACUUGCUCCCGGAGCCGAGGCCAGUCGAAGAUACCAGCUGGCUGCAACUGUUUAUUAAAAACACAGCACUGUGCAAACACGAAAGUGGACGUAUACGGUGUGACACCUGCCCGGUGCUGGAAGGUUAAUUGAUGGGGUUAUCCGUAAGGAGAAGCUCUUGAUCGAAGCCCCAGUAAACGGCGGCCGUAACUAUAACGGUCCUAAGGUAGCGAAAUUCCUUGUCGGGUAAGUUCCGACCCGCACGAAAGGUGUAACGAUUUGGGCACUGUCUCAACCAGAGACUCGGUGAAAUUAUAGUACCUGUGAAGAUGCAGGUUACCCGCGACAGGACGGAAAGACCCCGUGGAGCUUUACUACAGCUUGACACUGAACACUGAGCCUUGAUGUGUAGGAUAGGUGGGAGGCUUUGAAGCGUGGACGCCAGUCUGCGUGGAGCCGUCCUUGAAAUACCACCCUUUAAUGUUUGGUGUUCUAACGUGGGCCCGUGAUCCGGGCUGCGGACAGUGUCUGGUGGGUAGUUUGACUGGGGCGGUCUCCUCCCAAAGCGUAACGGAGGAGCACGAAGGUUGGCUAAUCCUGGUCGGACAUCAGGAGGUUAGUGCAAUGGCAUAAGCCAGCUUGACUGCGAGAGUGACGGCUCGAGCAGGUGCGAAAGCAGGUCAUAGUGAUCCGGUGGCCCUGAAUGGAAGGGCCAUCGCUCAACGGAUAAAAGGUACUCCGGGGAUAACAGGCUGAUACCGCCCAAGAGUUCAUAUCGACGGCGGUGUUUGGCACCUCGAUGUCGGCUCAUCACAUCCUGGGGCUGAAGUAGGUCCCAAGGGUACGGCUGUUCGCCGUUUAAAGUGGUACGCGAGCUGGGUUUAGAACGUCGUGAGACAGUUCGGUCCCUAUCUGCCGUGGGCGCUGGAGAAUUGAGGGGGGUUGCUCCUAGUACGAGAGGACCGGAGUGAACGCACCGCUGGUGUCCGGGUUGUCACGCCAGUGGCACUGCCCGGUAGCUAAGUGCGGAAAAGAUAAGUGCUGAAAGCAUCUAAGCACGAAACUUGCCCCGAGAUGAGUUCUCCCUGAGGCUCCGAGCCUCCUGAAGGGACGUUGAAGACGACGACGUUGAUAGGCCGGGUGUGUAAGCGCAGCGAUGCGUUGAGCUUACCGGUACUAAUGACCCGUGAGGCUUAACCUUACAACGCCAGAGGCGUUUUG